This 922-nucleotide ribosomal RNA is filed under the name Mycobacterium sp. MHSD5. RNAcentral's name for it is "bacterial SSU rRNA". It matches the Rfam family "Bacterial small subunit ribosomal RNA", at positions 56 to 993 of the family's 1533-position model. RNAcentral also lists the same sequence under 1 other name. Lineage: Bacteria; Bacillati; Actinomycetota; Actinomycetes; Mycobacteriales; Mycobacteriaceae. The record is from RNAcentral.
UGCAAGUCGAACGGAAAGGCCCUUCGGGGUACUCGAGUGGCGAACGGGUGAGUAACACGUGGGUGAUCUGCCCUGCACUUUGGGAUAAGCCUGGGAAACUGGGUCUAAUACCGAAUAUGACCGCGCACUUCCUGGUGUGUGGUGGAAAGCUUUUGCGGUGUGGGAUGGGCCCGCGGCCUAUCAGCUUGUUGGUGGGGUAAUGGCCUACCAAGGCGACGACGGGUAGCCGGCCUGAGAGGGUGACCGGCCACACUGGGACUGAGAUACGGCCCAGACUCCUACGGGAGGCAGCAGUGGGGAAUAUUGCACAAUGGGCGCAAGCCUGAUGCAGCGACGCCGCGUGAGGGAUGACGGCCUUCGGGUUGUAAACCUCUUUCAAUAGGGACGAAGCGCAAGUGACGGUACCUAUAGAAGAAGGACCGGCCAACUACGUGCCAGCAGCCGCGGUAAUACGUAGGGUCCGAGCGUUGUCCGGAAUUACUGGGCGUAAAGAGCUCGUAGGUGGUUUGUCGCGUUGUUCGUGAAAACUCACAGCUUAACUGUGGGCGUGCGGGCGAUACGGGCAGACUAGAGUACUGCAGGGGAGACUGGAAUUCCUGGUGUAGCGGUGGAAUGCGCAGAUAUCAGGAGGAACACCGGUGGCGAAGGCGGGUCUCUGGGCAGUAACUGACGCUGAGGAGCGAAAGCGUGGGGAGCGAACAGGAUUAGAUACCCUGGUAGUCCACGCCGUAAACGGUGGGUACUAGGUGUGGGUUUCCUUCCUUGGGAUCCGUGCCGUAGCUAACGCAUUAAGUACCCCGCCUGGGGAGUACGGCCGCAAGGCUAAAACUCAAAGAAAUUGACGGGGGCCCGCACAAGCGGCGGAGCAUGUGGAUUAAUUCGAUGCAACGCGAAGAACCUUACCUGGGUUUGACAUGCACAG